GUGGGGAAUAUUGGACAAUGGGCGAAAGCCUGAUCCAGCCAUGCCGCGUGUGUGAAGAAGGUCUUCGGAUUGUAAAGCACUUUAAGUUGGGAGGAAGGGCAGUAAGUUAAUACCUUGCUGUUUUGACGUUACCGACAGAAUAAGCACCGGCUAACUUCGUGCCAGCAGCCGCGGUAAUACGAAGGGUGCAAGCGUUAAUCGGAAUUACUGGGCGUAAAGCGAGCGUAGGUGGUUUUGUAAGUUGGAGGUGAAAUCCCCGGGCUCAACCUGGGAACUGCCUCCAAAACUGCAUGACUAGAGUACGGUAGAGGGUAGUGGAAUUUCCUGUGUAGCGGUGAAAUGCGUAGAUAUAGGAAGGAACACCAGUGGCGAAGGCGACUACCUGGACUGAUACUGACACUGAGGUGCGAAAGCGUGGGGAGCAAACAGGAUUAGAAACCCGUGUAGUCC
RNAcentral lists this ribosomal RNA (450 nucleotides) under uncultured bacterium. RNAcentral's name for it is "bacterial SSU rRNA". It matches the Rfam family "Bacterial small subunit ribosomal RNA", at positions 354 to 796 of the family's 1533-position model. The record is from RNAcentral.